UACGUAGGGUGCAAGCGUUGUCCGGAAUUAUUGGGCGUAAAGAGCUCGUAGGCGGUUUGUCGCGUCUGCUGUGAAAUCCCGAGGCUCAACCUCGGGUCUGCAGUGGGUACGGGCAGAUUAGAGUGCGGUAGGGGAGAUUGGAACUCCUGGUGUAGCGGUGGAAUGCGCAGAUAUCAGGAAGAACACCGAUGGCGAAGGCAGAUCUCUGGGCCGUAACUGACGCUGAGGAGCGAAAGCAUGGGGAGCGAACAGG
This 253-nucleotide ribosomal RNA is filed under the name uncultured bacterium. Its description in RNAcentral is "partial 16S ribosomal RNA". It matches the Rfam family "Bacterial small subunit ribosomal RNA", at positions 524 to 776 of the family's 1533-position model. The record is from RNAcentral.